RNAcentral lists this ribosomal RNA (404 nucleotides) under uncultured Strombidiidae. RNAcentral's name for it is "partial small subunit ribosomal RNA". It matches the Rfam family "Eukaryotic small subunit ribosomal RNA", at positions 30 to 432 of the family's 1831-position model. Lineage: Eukaryota; Ciliophora; Spirotrichea; Strombidiidae. The record is from RNAcentral.
GCUUGUCUCAAAGAUUAAGCCAUGCAUGUCUAAGUAUAAGCACCCUUAUACUGCGAAACUGCGUACAGCUCAUUAUAUCAGCAAUUAUUUAUUUGAAGGUCACCUAUUACAUGGAUAACCGUGGUAAUUCUAGAGCUAAUACAUGCUGGCGUGCCCGACUUUUGUGGAAGGGCGGUAUUUAUUAGAUAACAAGCCAAUAUUCCUCACGGUCUAUUGUGGUGACUCAUAAUAACUGAUCGAAUCGCAAGGCCCUUGGCCGCGAUAAGUCAUUCAAGUUUCUGCCCCAUCAGCUUUCGAUGGUAGUGUAUUGGACUACCAUGGCGUUCACGGGUAACGGAGAAUUAGGGUUCGAUUCCGGAGAGGGAGCCUGAGAAACGGCUACCACAUCUAAGGAAGGCAGCAGG